UACAGAGGGUGCAAGCGCUAAUCGGAAUUACUGGGCGUAAAGGGCUCGUAGGCGGUUUGUCGCGUCGGGAGUGAAAACCUUGGGCUUAACUCAGGGCUUGCUUUCGAUACGGGCAGACUAGAGGUAUGCAGGGGAGAACGGAAUUCCUGGUGUAGCGGUGAAAUGCGCAGAUAUCAGGAGGAACACCGGUGGCGAAGGCGGUUCUCUGGGCAUGAUCUGACGCUGAGGAGCGAAAGUGUGGGGAGCGAACAGG
Molecule: ribosomal RNA, 253 nt
Filed under: uncultured bacterium
Lineage: Bacteria
Description: partial 16S ribosomal RNA
Rfam family: Bacterial small subunit ribosomal RNA
Source: RNAcentral